RNAcentral lists this ribosomal RNA (464 nucleotides) under Vreelandella stevensii. RNAcentral's name for it is "partial 16S ribosomal RNA". It matches the Rfam family "Bacterial small subunit ribosomal RNA", at positions 338 to 795 of the family's 1533-position model. The record is from RNAcentral. Lineage: Bacteria; Pseudomonadati; Pseudomonadota; Gammaproteobacteria; Oceanospirillales; Halomonadaceae.
CCUACGGGUGGCAGCAGUGGGGAAUAUUGGACAAUGGGCGAAAGCCUGAUCCAGCCAUGCCGCGUGUGUGAAGAAGGCCUUCGGGUUGUAAAGCACUUUCAGUGGGGAAGAAAGCCUUGGGGCUAAUACCCUCGAGGAAGGACAUCACCCACAGAAGAAGCACCGGCUAACUCCGUGCCAGCAGCCGCGGUAAUACGGAGGGUGCGAGCGUUAAUCGGAAUUACUGGGCGUAAAGCGCGCGUAGGCGGUCUGAUAAGCCGGUUGUGAAAGCCCCGGGCUCAACCUGGGAACGGCAUCCGGAACUGUCAGGCUAGAGUGCAGGAGAGGAAGGUAGAAUUCCCGGUGUAGCGGUGAAAUGCGUAGAGAUCGGGAGGAAUACCAGUGGCGAAGGCGGCCUUCUGGACUGACACUGACGCUGAGGUGCGAAAGCGUGGGUAGCAAACAGGAUUAGAUACCCGAGUGUC